Molecule: unclassified non-coding RNA, 339 nt
Filed under: uncultured Auriculariales
Lineage: Eukaryota; Fungi; Basidiomycota; Agaricomycetes; Auriculariales
Description: sequence contains ITS1
Rfam family: 5.8S ribosomal RNA (bases 1-105)
Source: RNAcentral
GAAAUGCGAUAAGUAAUGUGAAUUGCAGAAUUCAGUGAAUCAUCGAAUCUUUGAACGCACCUUGCGCUCCUUGGUAUUCCAUGGAGCAUGCCUGUUUGAGUGUCACGUUAACCCUCACCCUUGUGAUGAAAAAUUUCAAGUGGUGGAUUUGGACUGUGCCGUAGCCGGCUCAUCCUGAAAUGCAUUAGCUGGCGCCUGUUAGAGUGCUCGGCAUGGUGUGAUAAUUAUCUGCGCCGUCGCCUGAUGCCUCUUCUGUGGAGCGCUGCUUACAACCGUCCCUUGUGGACAAUGACACAAAGCUUUGGCCUCAAAUCAGGUAGGAUCACCCGCUGAACUUAA